GACGAACGCUGGCGGCGUGCUUAACACAUGCAAGUCGAACGGACAGGCCCUGCUUUUGUGGGGUGCUCGAGUGGCGAACGGGGGAGUAACACGUGAGUAACCUGCCCUUGACUUUGGGAUAACUUCAGGAAACUGGGGCUAAUACCGGAUAGGAGCUCCUGCUGCAUGGGGGGGGUUGGAAAGAUUCGGCGGUUGGGGAUGGACUCGCGGCUUAUCCGCUUGUUGGUGGGGUAGUGGCUUCCCAAGGCUGUGACGGGUAGCCGGCCUGAGAGGGUGAACGGCCACAUUGGGACUGAGAUACGGCCCAGACUCCUACGGGCGGCAGCAGUGGGGAAUCUUGCAGAAUGGGCGGAAGCCUGAUGCGACAACGCCGCGUGCGGGAUGACGGCCUUUGGGUUGUAAACCGCUUUCGAAUGUGACGAAGCGUGAGUGACGGUAAUGGGUAAAGAAGCCCCGGCUAACUACGUG
Molecule: ribosomal RNA, 468 nt
Filed under: uncultured bacterium
Lineage: Bacteria
Description: partial 16S ribosomal RNA
Rfam family: Bacterial small subunit ribosomal RNA
Source: RNAcentral